AGCGAACGCUGGCGGCAGGCCUAACACAUGCAAGUCGAACGAUGAAGCCCAGCUUGCUGGGUGGAUUAGUGGCGAACGGGUGAGUAACACGUGAGUAACCUGCCCUUAACUCUGGGAUAAGCCUGGGAAACUGGGUCUAAUACCGGAUAGGAGCGUCCACCGCAUGGUGGGUGUUGGAAAGAUUUAUCGGUUUUGGAUGGACUCGCGGCCUAUCAGCUUGUUGGUGAGGUAAUGGCUCACCAAGGCGACGACGGGUAGCCGGCCUGGGAGGGUGACCGGCCACACUGGGACUGAGAGACGGCCCAGACUCCUACGGGAGGCAGCAGUGGGGAAUAUUGCACAAUGGGCGCAAGCCUGAUGCAGCGACGCCGCGUGAGGGAUGACGGCCUUCGGGUUGUAAACCUCUUUCAGUAGGGAAGAAGCGAAAGUGACGGUACCUGCAGAAGAAGCACCGGCUAACUACGUG
RNAcentral lists this ribosomal RNA (466 nucleotides) under uncultured bacterium. Its description in RNAcentral is "partial 16S ribosomal RNA". It matches the Rfam family "Bacterial small subunit ribosomal RNA", at positions 29 to 507 of the family's 1533-position model. The record is from RNAcentral.